CUUGCAUUGCUGUGGCUAUGGUGUAUGCCAGCAGCUGUAGCUCUGAUUCAACCCCUAGCCUGGGAAUUUCCAUAUGCCAUGAGAUAUAAUCCUCUCUCCCAGCCCCGCUUUAUUAUUCUGCCCACUGGGUGGGGCAUUGAGCCGGACCCUCCACUUAGGGUGACUUACCCCUUGCCUAUUCCGGGUGCGUAUCCAGUUCUGCUAAGAGAAUGGCAAAACCUUUCUCUCUUUAGCAAAUUAUUUUCCAGUUACUUUUCCCAGAGUUACGUAUUUUGCCUCUAUAUGUAAAUUUAGCCAACAUAAUAACAUGAAUUGUAAAAUUCCUAGUAACCACUCUAGCCUACAGUAGGAUUAAACAAAUCUUAAUUUCCACAAUGUUGUUUUUUUCUAUAGAUUAUUGAUCAGCAGUUUUCUUAGAGAAUAGUCUAUCUAAAUUUCUAGAUAACCUACUCAUUAACUCUUAAAUAAAUAUAAUCUAGGUAAAGGGUGAAUUAAAUCUAAAGUCCUAUCCAUUGAUCAUCUCCUGGAAUGAAUGAACUUUUAGCCUCCCAGAGACAAGUCUUAGUUGACUUUAGGCUCUACAGGGCUAUUGGCAUGCCUCAUGUACACAGUGUGAAUUUGUUAGUGACGACAAUGUUAUGAUAAUAAAAUUAUCUACUUGAGUAGUAACCUCAUUUUAUGAAUCACAGUGACACUUUGCCAGAUUCAAACGAAGCAGACUAGUCAGCUGGCUCACCUCUGCAUGUGACCUACAAUCUGUUCUUAUUCCUAAAACCAGAGGUGGCACAUAUAGGAAUCCUGUUCUUAAUUAGGCAUGUACUUCACAACGUGGCCGCCAUGCAUAUACAUCCAAAAUGAUAAUUAUUCUGAACCAUUCAUUACAGCUGGACAAACUACACUAUCCAGAGCUGUGAAGGGUCUUGGAAUGUUGAAUGGAAACUCAAUCUAUGGUUUUAAUCUGUGUGUGCCUCAUUUCUCUUAGUCAGUAAAACAAGACUGAUAAUAGUAUGUACUUUAUAGUGUUGAUGGGAGGAUUAAGAGUUAAACUGUGUGGGGCACUGGGACAGUUCGGGUGUACAGUGGGAACUGUAUGGUGUUUGUAGCCAUGAUAAGGAUUCCUAGGAAAAUGUGUAGUCCUCUAAAAGGGAAGCUGCCUCUGACCCAAUUAUAAUCCCACUUGCUUUCCCAGGUCAUAACUGUGAAAACCGGGUCUUUGAGAAUCACAGGCUUCUCUGGCUCCAACCCAACACAUUUUUCUUUUCCAGUUAGAAAAUUUCUGGAGUUUUCCUUUGAUAACAACCUGUGGAUUGAAUCAGUAGUCUUCAAAGCAGUAGCUCCUGAUUUUGGGAAUCAGGGCACCGUCUGAAAGUCUGAUGAAUCUCCAGACUCUCUCCCAAGAAAAAAUGUACAUAUAAAAGUUCGCAUUCCCUUUCAUGGGGGGUUCAUAACACCUCUCUAGGGUCAUUCAUGGACCCCAGAUUAAGAAUCAAUGUUUGAAAGCAUGGCUUAGAAAAGAGCUACCUUUGGAUCUUGUUCUUAACAAUGUCUGAAACAAAAGGAGAUAGAAACACAUACUUGCCCAUUGUAAAGAAGUAUUAAUGACUGUUAGGGGUUUUGAUGAAUGAAGGGUUUGAUGAGGAUGAAGAUGACGAAGAAGGAAAUGAAGAGGAGAACAAGAGGAGGAGGAGUCCCCCCAAAAGGAUCAAGGUUGGUAAACAACGUACGCUUUUACCUUUAAGUGUGCCAAGCCACGCUUCCAUCUUUAAGUGUGCCAAGCCACGCUUCCAUCUUUAAGUGUGCCAAGCCUGCAGCCAUGUUUGCAACUGGAAAGUACUUACCAGUGGCUCUGGAGGCAGUUUGAGUAACCAGUUGUAUCUAAAGCUUUCUUUCAAAGCUCAAACAGGUAAAAUAUUAUCACUGGGGCUCUUCACACCCAUUCAGUGACUCAGACAGAAAAGAAAUGCUAACUAGGAGAACUGAGCUGUGAAUGUGGAGUGACCCCGAGGGACAAAAUGAUUAUCUGGUUGUCUUAGGUUUCGGGGAAAUUUAUUAGGGGGUUUUAAGAUUACAUUGACUGAUUUUUACCUUAAGUGCUCCAACUGGAGAAGCAUUAAAGUCUCAUGAUAAGGAGCAAUUUCAAAGAGUUAAUGGCAUCAGCCAGAUCUUUUUGGUGAGUCAGGGGUACUGAAAGGCGAAAAGCACAAGUGAGGACCAUGUCUCCAGCAGGCGGUGUGAUGGGCUUGCCACUUUGACUGGGGCUCACUAGGGCCCCUACUCUUCUCCUGUUUCCAAGUGACAAACACCAGGACCAAAGAGGAAGAAUAAUAUAUUUACAGCAAAGGUCAUAGAAUGAGGCCAAGGACCUGGUUACAUUUCUGCCCCAUUAUGGUCUCAGAUUGCACCUCUGCCUCUAAAAGCCAAACAUCUGGGAGUUCCCAUUGUGGCUCAGCAGUAACAAAUCUGAUUAGUAUCCAGGAGGACCAGGGUUCGAUCCCUGGCCUCUCUCAGUGGGUUAAGGACCUGGCAUUGCUGUGAGCUGUGGUGUAGGCUGGCAGCUGCAGUUCCGAUUCAACCCCUAGCCUGAGAACUUCCAUAUGCCGCAGGUGGACCCCUAAAAAGACAAAAAUAAAAAUAAAUAAAUAAAUAAAUAAAUCCAAACAUCUUCUCAUUGUAUGCAAUGAGUGACAAGCUUACCUCUGCUCACCUUUGUUCCUUCAUCCCCUCCCAUCUCCCCAUCUCACCUUGCCCCAGUCCCAAGGCCAUCUCUUUGUUCUUGGACUAUCCCAAGUUCAUCCCUGGCUCAGGGCUUCUGUAUUUAUUGUUGCCUCUGCCAGGAACAUUCCUUCUCUAGAUAUUUUCAUGGCUGACUCAUUCUCAUUCUGAUGUUUAGGUCUUAGUUCAGCUGGCAACUUUCUGUCCCCUGCCUUGUCACUUUCCUCCAUAUUAUCCUGUAUUAUUUAUAGCACUUGUCACUCUCUGAAAAAAAACCUCUUGAUCUGUUUUCUUCUUACUGUCUGUCUUUCCAUUAGAAUGUGAGCACCAUACAAGCCGGGAUCCUCUGUCUUGACCUCUGCUGUACCCUCCCCACCGCCCCCACCACCCCAAGUCUUCUUAGCACACAGAAGCACUAGAUAUACAUUUGUUGGAUAAAGGAAUGGAUGAUCAUCAUAAUAGUGACACUUACUGAGCUUUUCCUCUGUGCCAGGCACAGGGCUGCAAAUUUUUACAAAUACCAUCUCACAGAGUUCUCACAGCCACCGUCCAAGCUAGGUAUCUCUCUCUUAUCCCCACGGCACAGGUUAGGUUUCAGAGGGGUUGUGUGGCUUUUCUAAUGUCAAAGCUGCCAAGUGACCAAGACCUGAUCUGAACCAAGGUAUGUUUGUCUCCAACACUCACACUCUUAAAUCAGGAAUCAGCACACUUAUUUUUCUGUAAAGGACCAGGUAGUAAAUGUUAAAGACUUUGGGAGCCAUAUGGUCUCUGUUGCAAAUACUCAGCUCUGUUGUAGAAAGAAGCCAUGACAAUGCAUCAACAAAGGGAUGUGGCAGUGUGCCAACACAACUCUAUUUACAAGGGGUGGGCAGGAUUUGGCCCAGCGGCCAUAAUUUGCAGAUCCCUCCUGUAUGUCAUCAUUCUAUCUAGACUUUGCUAAAAGAGGGUU
RNAcentral lists this long non-coding RNA (3661 nucleotides) under Sus scrofa (pig). RNAcentral describes it as "lncRNA (ENSSSCG00000062178.1)". Lineage: Eukaryota; Metazoa; Chordata; Mammalia; Artiodactyla; Suidae. The record is from RNAcentral.